Homo sapiens (human) is the source of this 640-nucleotide long non-coding RNA. RefSeq annotates it as PPP1R3B antisense RNA 1. The record is from RefSeq and is a predicted model, not a curated record. The transcript is spliced from 2 exons. Lineage: Eukaryota; Metazoa; Chordata; Mammalia; Primates; Hominidae.
ACUUUGACCAUUGUCAGGGCCAGCCCCUGGUUGUCUGCGAAGGACACCCGCUUUUUCACCUUCUUCUCCUGGACAGCCGGGGCCACCAUUCCACUGGCUUCAUUCUUGCUGCUCAGCUGAAUACAAGGCCUCAGUGGUUUGCUGGGCUUUGGUGAGAUCUUAAAGGCAAACCUCUCUUGGCGCAAGGAAGGAGCCAUGCAGUUGUAUCUGUACUCGAUGUCCACAGCCAUCAUGGGGCUAGAUGAACAGGCUAGAACCGUGGAAAGGGAAGAGAAGAAAGAAAACAGUGGAGCAAUCAGAUCAGACAGAUGUGUAAAGGCAUCAUUCCAGCAGGGACUGGCAAACAAUAUUUCCUUUUAUCUAUGCCCACCUGGCUACAGGUCCACGUAUGCUCAGAUUCUCUUCUGCCUCUGCCGCCCUGAGACAGCAAGACCAACCCCUUCUCCUCCUCUUCCUCCUCCUCAGCCUACUCAACGUGAAGAGGAUGAGAAUGAAGACCUUUAUGAUGACCCGCAUCCACUUAAUGAAUAGUAAAUAUAUUUUCUCUUUCCUAUGAUUUUCUUAACAUUUUCUUUCCUUUAGUUUACUUUACUAUAAGAAUACGGUAUAUGUUACAAAUAAAAUACAAAAUAUGUGUUAA